AGUGAACGCUGGCGGUAGGCCUAACACAUGCAAGUCGAACGGCGGCACAGUAAGAGCUUGCUCUUACGGGUGGCGAGUGGCGGACGGGUGAGGAAUACAUCGGAAUCUACUUUUUCGUGGGGGAUAACGUAGGGAAACUUACGCUAAUACCGCAUACGACCUACGGGUGAAAGCAGGGGAUCUUCGGACCUUGCGCGAUUGAAUGAGCCGAUGUCGGAUUAGCUAGUUGGCGGGGUAAGGCCCACCAAGGCGACGAUCCGUAGCUGGUCUGAGAGGAUGAUCAGCCACACUGGAACUGAGACACGGUCCAGACUCCUACGGGAGGCAGCAGUGGGGAAUAUUGGACAAUGGGCGCAAGCCUGAUCCAGCCAUACCGCGUGGGUGAAGAAGGCCUUCGGGUUGUAAAGCCCUUUUGUUGGGAAAGAAAAGCAGCAGGUUAAUACCCCGCUGUUCUGACGGUACCCAAAGAAUAAGCACCGGCUAACUUCGUG
Molecule: ribosomal RNA, 491 nt
Filed under: uncultured bacterium
Lineage: Bacteria
Description: partial 16S ribosomal RNA
Rfam family: Bacterial small subunit ribosomal RNA
Source: RNAcentral